AUUUCGGCAGCAGAGGGAGCUGUGAGACACUGAGGACCACAGAAAAUUCUGCGUUUACGGCCACCAGAAGAAAAAGAAUCGAGAAGAGCCAACCAUGAGAACAGAGGAGUAAAUUUUGUGAGAUUCUAGUGCGGUUCUGUGUGAAGUAUUCAGCCCCUUUUGAAGAUUCUCUUGGCUUCAACCCCUUCAUACACGAUAUGUCAAAUUGGGACCCUCCAAAAUAAGACUCUCCAGUUUAACAGCUAGCUUUGUGCACAGAUAUGCACAAAGAGAACACCUGCAUAUGCUGAUACUUACUCAGACAACACAAAAUGAAUAAAAUGUCACGUAGGCACUGGUAACAGCUGGAACAAUCAACACACAGGUAAAGGUCAGCUGAUGCUAGUGUGUUGAUUUAUCAACUGACUGCCCUGUAGUAACACAGAAAUGUUGGAAAGCACAAAGAUUCCUGAUUUACCUACAGAUGAUGGUGAUAUAGCUGAAUGCAUAGAUCUUGCUACAAGAUCUGAGCAAGUCUUCACCCCACAUAUAGCACUCUGAAGGAUUGCCUCCUAAGACUGCAUUCCACCACUGUCUUAGCAAUCAGGACUAGAUGAAGGAGGGAAAAGGUGUUAAGUGGAAUUUGUAUUUAGCAAAUCUUAAAAUUAAGCAUAUACCCGUUGCUGAACUGGCCAUGGUUUGGUGAUGGCCGAUAAAUCACAUGCGGUCAUCAGCAUUGCU
Pogoniulus pusillus (Red-fronted tinkerbird) is the source of this 720-nucleotide long non-coding RNA. RefSeq lists it as uncharacterized. The transcript has 3 exons. The record is from RefSeq and is a predicted model, not a curated record. Lineage: Eukaryota; Metazoa; Chordata; Aves; Piciformes; Lybiidae.